This 68-nucleotide microRNA precursor is filed under the name Bombyx mori (domestic silkworm). Its description in RNAcentral is "mir-2774 microRNA precursor family". It matches the Rfam family "mir-2774 microRNA precursor family". The record is from Rfam by way of RNAcentral. Lineage: Eukaryota; Metazoa; Arthropoda; Insecta; Lepidoptera; Bombycidae.
ACAACAUUCGGACCGUCGGUCUAACGAGCAAAUAUCACCAGCUCGGUGGAAGAUCUUCCCUUUGUCGU